UAACACAUCUUUGUAUCAUUAAAACAAACAUUCCAGUACAGAGAAGUUUAGCAUGGCCCUUGUGCAAGGAUGACAUGCAAAUUCAUGAAGCAUUCCAUACUUUU
Molecule: small nuclear RNA, 104 nt
Organism: Phodopus roborovskii (desert hamster)
Lineage: Eukaryota; Metazoa; Chordata; Mammalia; Rodentia; Cricetidae
Source: RefSeq, a predicted model, not a curated record